Non-coding RNA from Cinara cedri, 373 nucleotides. The record is from the annotation of a GenBank genome assembly. NCBI's taxonomy places the organism in Eukaryota, Metazoa, Arthropoda, Insecta, Hemiptera, Aphididae.
CCUUUUUAAAUUGUUUUCAUUUUAACGAGGAGACAAAAAAUAUUAAUUUGUUAAAAAUAAUAUUGAAUAAUACUGGAUCUGAACAUUUUGUUAACCGCCAUCAAGACAACCGAAAUUUCAUCAAGUGAGUGUGAAUGUGCAUUAUGUCCUCUGGAGAAUUUAAUGCUUACCAAGAGAAAUGCAUUAAGUUCUAUUCAUAUUUCUUCUCUUAUGUUUGUAAAUUACGAGUACCAGAACUCCAGUAUAAACUUUUAAACCCGGGUCUUAUAUAUUGUAUUUGAUACGCAGAGGAAAAAGAUCUGCUGAAAUAAAGAAGUAAAUCACAGUUACCAAAAGUAAGUUGUGAAAUAUUAUUUAAAAUUAAUUGGGUGCC